GACGAACGCUGGCGGCAUGCCUAAUACAUGCAAGUCGAGCGAACAGAUGAAGUGCUUGCACUUCUGACGUUAGCGGCGAACGGGUGAGUAACACGUAAGGAAUCUACCUAUAAGCGGGGGAUAACAUUCGGAAACGGGUGCUAAUACCGCGUAAUAUCUUCUUCCGCAUGGAAGAAGAUUGAAAGACGGCUCUGCUGUCACUUAUAGAUGACCUUGCGGUGCAUUAGUUAGUUGGUGGGGUAAUGGCCUACCAAGACGAGGAUGCAUAGCCGACCUGAGAGGGUGAUCGGCCACAUUGAGACUGAGACACGGCCCAAACGCCUACGGGAGGCAGCAGUAGGGAAUCUUCCGCAAUGGGCGAAAGCCUGACGGAGCAAUGCCGCGUGAGUGAAGAAGGCCUUCGGGUCGUAAAAUUCUGUUAUAAGAGAAGAACAAAUUGUAGAGUAACUGCUACAGUCUUGACGGUAUCUUAUCAGAAAGCCACGGCUAACUACGUGCCAGCAGCCGCAGUAA
RNAcentral lists this ribosomal RNA (513 nucleotides) under uncultured bacterium. Its description in RNAcentral is "partial 16S ribosomal RNA". It matches the Rfam family "Bacterial small subunit ribosomal RNA", at positions 28 to 523 of the family's 1533-position model. The record is from RNAcentral.